AUUUUUCUAGUAUACAAAGUAUAAUUGACUUCCAAUCAGUAGGUCUGGGCUACCAGGAAAAAUA
RNAcentral lists this transfer RNA (64 nucleotides) under Alvinocaris chelys. Its description in RNAcentral is "tRNA-Gly". Lineage: Eukaryota; Metazoa; Arthropoda; Malacostraca; Decapoda; Alvinocarididae. The record is from RNAcentral.